GUGAACGCUGGCGGUAGGCCUAACCCCUGCAAGUCGCACGGCAGCACAGUAAGAGCUUGCUCUUACGGGUGGCGAGUGGCGGACGGGUGAGGAAUACAUCGGAAUCUACUUUUUCGUGGGGGAUAACGUAGGGAAACUUACGCUAAUACCGCAUACGACCUACGGGUGAAAGCAGGGGAUCUUCGGACCUUGCGCGAUUGAAUGAGCCGAUGUCGGAUUAGCUAGUUGGCGGGGUAAAGGCCCACCAAGGCGACGAUCCGUAGCUGGUCUGAGAGGAUGAUCAGCCACACUGGAACUGAGACACGGUCCAGACUCCUACGGGAGGCAGCAGUGGGGAAUAUUGGACAAUGGGCGCAAGCCUGAUCCAGCCAUACCGCGUGGGUGAAGAAGGCCUUCGGGUUGUAAAGCCCUUUUGUUGGGAAAGAAAAGCAGCAGGUUAAUACCCCGCUGUUCUGACGGUACCCAAAGAAUAAGCACCGGCUAACCUCGUG
RNAcentral lists this ribosomal RNA (491 nucleotides) under uncultured bacterium. RNAcentral describes it as "partial 16S ribosomal RNA". It matches the Rfam family "Bacterial small subunit ribosomal RNA", at positions 29 to 507 of the family's 1533-position model. The record is from RNAcentral.